RNAcentral lists this ribosomal RNA (504 nucleotides) under uncultured bacterium. RNAcentral's name for it is "bacterial SSU rRNA". It matches the Rfam family "Bacterial small subunit ribosomal RNA", at positions 36 to 524 of the family's 1533-position model. The record is from RNAcentral.
UAAUGACUGGCGGCAGGCUUACACAUGCAAGUCCAACGGUAGCAGGAGAAAGCUUGCUUUCUUGCUGACGAGUGGCGGACGGGUGAGUAAUGCUUGGGAAUCUGGCUUAUGGAGGGGGAUAACUACUGGAAACGGUAGCUAAUACCGCGUAAUAUCGGAAGAUUAAAGGGUGGGACUUUCGGGCCACCUGCCAUAAGAUGAGCCCAAGUGGGAUUAGGUAGUUGGUGGGGUAAAGGCCUACCAAGCCUGCGAUCUCUAGCUGGUCUGAGAGGAUGGCCAGCCACACUGGAACUGAGACACGGUCCAGACUCCUACGGGAGGCAGCAGUGGGGAAUAUUGCACAAUGGGGGGAACCCUGAUGCAGCCAUGCCGCGUGAAUGAAGAAGGCCUUCGGGUUGUAAAGUUCUUUCGGUGAUGAGGAAGGUGUUUUGUUUAAUAGACAAAGCAAUUGACGUUAGUCACAGAAGAAGCAGCGGCUAACUCCGUGCCAGCAGCCGCGGUAAU